Pelmatolapia mariae (spotted tilapia) is the source of this 360-nucleotide non-coding RNA. The record is from the annotation of a RefSeq genome assembly. NCBI's taxonomy places the organism in Eukaryota, Metazoa, Chordata, Actinopteri, Cichliformes, Cichlidae.
AUGACCAUGGCCACCUUACAGAGUCUGCUCCUUUUGACUUUUAUUUCAGCUGCUCGCUGUCAGUCUCUCACCUCAUCAGAGGCAGUGGUCAGCAGACCAGGACAAUCAGUCACUCUGUCCUGUAGAGUUCAAGGACUCUCUUUGACUUGGUUGCACUGGAUUCAUCAAAAACCUGGGAAAGGACUAGAAUGGAUCGGACGCAUUGAUAGCGGGACCGGCACAAUAUUUGCCCAAAGUCUCCAAGGCCAGGAGCUGGUGUUUAUACUGCCAAAGACCAAAGACACUUCCCAAAAUCGUGUGAAUUUAGUGGUGAACAGCCUCAAACAGGAAGACUCUGCAGUUUAUUACUGUGCACGAUAG